Molecule: long non-coding RNA, 2208 nt
Organism: Neofelis nebulosa (Clouded leopard)
Lineage: Eukaryota; Metazoa; Chordata; Mammalia; Carnivora; Felidae
Exons: 2
Source: RefSeq, a predicted model, not a curated record
GGUUAUUUCUUUGUUGAUGUAAUAAACAGCUUUGUUUAUGGGAAUGUGACAUUCGUUUUUCUUGACAGCCUUGGUGAAGGUUUUAUAAAAGAGGUGGUUGAAUUUGAGAAUUGCGCCCCUUGCGUGUUCUUUAUAACUGCUUAUAUAAGGAGUUGGUCAUAUAGAAAACACCAUAGGAAGUCCCUUGCUUCCCCUUCCAUUACUUUGAUGAUGGUAUAAGUGUUCCUCCUUGACACAUGAGCAAUCAGGAUGUACUUACUGAACCCAGCAUCCACUAGAAUAGUAGUUCUCAGCUGGAGAUCAUUUUGCCUCCCAGGAUACAUUUGGCAAUGUCCACAGUUAUUUUUUAUUAUGCUGACAGUGCGGUGCUCCUGGCAUCUAGUGGGUAGAGGCCAUAGAUGCUGCUAAAAAUCCUAUAAAGCACAAGAUAACCUACAAAGAUUUAUCUGGUGCAAAAUGUUAGUAGUGUUGAGAUUGAGAAACCAUACACUAAAGACAAGUUUUUUGGGAGGGCAUCAGUAUGUGAAAGAAGCCCAAGACCUGAUUCCAGCUGCUUAUAACAUAUAAUUGACCUUUGGACAACAUGGUUUGAACUGCGCAGGUCCACUUACAUGCGAUGGUUUUUUUUGUUUUGUUUGUUUUUUUUUAAUACAGUACAGUACACCAUUGUAAAUGUAUUUUCUCAUGAUUUUCUUUUUUAGCAUUGAUACAGUACGUUUUAAUAUAGUCCAUAUUCAGAUUUCCAUAUUUACCUCCAAAAAAUCCUUUUAGCUUUUUUGGGGGAGGGGUACAAAAUCCAGUCAAAUAUCAUAUAAUACAUCCCUUUCUCACACCUCCUUAGUAUCCUUUCAUCUAGAACAGCUCUCCUACCUUUUUCAAAAAUAUUUCACAUCUUUCAGAAAUCAGAGUUAUUGAGGUAUAAUGUACAUAGAGUAAAAAUCACCUAGUUUAUGUGUACAUUUUAAUGAGUUUUGGCAAAUAUAAACAGUUAUGAAAACACCUCUUCAAUAAUGAUAUGUUUUCCUUAUUUCAAAAUCCUUGUGCCCCUUUUCAGUCAGUCCCAAGUACAUUUUUUACAUUUCCUCUUUUUUGAAACUAUUUUAAAGGCUUUUGUGAUGCCAUGGCUGGUCUAGUUUUCCUCCCAGAUCUCCUCAGUCACUUUAGCCAGCUUCUCUUCCUCUGUGAGGACAGGAAACUUGUUUGUAACAGUUUGUCACUUAGGAUCAUACUCUCAACACCUAGAACAAUACCUGGUGUAGGAAACACUGCAAAGUGAGGCACUUUGAACUAUGCUCAUUUAUGUAAUGUUUAGUUUCCAGCUAAAUAUUACCUUCAUUUUCUAAAUGACCAUAAAGCUCAACAAAGUAUAAUUGGUACCAUUUACAAAACCACUAUAUAACAAAGCCAGGAUUUAAAUACAUUGGGUAAAAUAUGUUCUGAUUAAUUAUAUUUCAGUAUUAAAAAUUGUUUUUAAUGUGCAUAGAGUUGAUACAAAAUGUUACAUUGGUUUCAGGUGUGCAACGUGAUCUAGCGUCUCUAUACAUUAUGCUAAGGUCGCUACAAGUGUAGCUACCAACUCACUGUACGGUGUGAUUAUGGUAUCACUGACUAUAUUCCCUAUGCUGUACCUUUAUUCCCUAUUAUCUCAGUAUUUACAGACAGAUGUGUGAAUAUUGAAAAUAAUUGCGAUUACAGAAUUUAAGAUUUUUAGAGCCCUUUAUUCUUAGGGUAUAAGGUUAUGCACAUUCACUAAGAGCUGUAUAGUGUAAUACUUAUGUAACAUUUUGAAUUUGAAAAGCACUUGUUGAGCUGCAGAAUAAGUAAGGCAAAUGUUAUUUGGUCAUUACUUUGUAGUCACUUGAGAGAUUUUAUGAGUUUAAUUCUUUUUUUUAAUUGAAGUAUAGUUGGCAUCCAAUGUUAGUUUCAAGUGUACAAUGUAGUGGUUCAAGUUUAUAUGUUAUCUUCAUUGUAAGUGUAGCUACCAUCUGUUGCCGUAUAAUGGUAUUACAAUGUUAUUGACUAUAUUCCCUAUGCUGUACCUUUUAUCCCCAUAACUUAUUCCGUAACUGGAAGCCUGUAUCUCCUUUUCACCCAUUUUCACCCACCCUUCUCCCCCUAUGGCAACCACAUUUGUUCUUUGUAUUUAUGGGUCUGUUUGUGUUUUUUGUUUUUGUUCUUUAGAUUACACAUAUAAAUGAAAUCAUGGUA